RNAcentral lists this unclassified non-coding RNA (4319 nucleotides) under Haliotis rufescens (red abalone). RNAcentral's name for it is "cystinosin-like, transcript variant X1". Lineage: Eukaryota; Metazoa; Mollusca; Gastropoda; Lepetellida; Haliotidae. The record is from RNAcentral.
AACAAACAACCCAGGAAAGCAAAAUGCUCUGCGUUCGUGACCUUUUAAAGUCAACUGCUUAAAAAUGUAGCUCGUGAAAACGCAAUCUCAUUAAGAUCAGAUCUUAGUUAUCGCUUUCUCUAAACAAAACUUUAUUUAGCGGCAGCGAGAACUUAGAUUUGAUUUUAAUGAGAUUGGUGAAAACGUAACUUUGAAUUUGUAGAUGUAAAGGAAACUUCGUUUUUAAUUUGUUUGUUUUUCUUUUUUUUCUUUCUUGUAUUUCUUUUGUUUUGUUUUGUUGUUUGUUUGUUUUUCUUUUUUUGGGGGGAGGGGGUCGCGUUAAUUUGUAAAUCGUGGAGUACACAAGGUAAUAAUAUACAUCGAAAUCUAUCCCCUUUACGGAUUCAGGUUACAGUACGCUGACAACAAUAUUCAACAGCAAUGUUUAUCCCGAAGGGGAUACGGGUAGGAAUAGCGAAGUUACCGAAUUUGAUUUUCCUUCAACACCUGUUUGUCUCAACCUGUUUGACUUCUGCGGUACAGUUUCCGUGUCCGUUGAUGUUCCGAGUGCGUGCAGUCAUGUGCUAAAGUUAUGAUUGACAGAUAUCACACAAUAACGGCGUUUUGUUGAAUGAGUCUCGUCGAUGUUUCAGGAUAAGCAUGUCAACUUACACUGUGUAUUUACAAUUGUUAUGUAUUGGGCUCAUUACAGACGUUUACGGAGGCAAUGUGACGGUGACCAUGACCCCACGUGCCAUUACGCUUCAAGGAGGAUCUAGCAGUAACGCCAAUGUGUGCCUGUCACAGCCCUUGUCAAAGACGGCCACCUUGCUGUUCACCUAUGACACUGGUAAAGGGGUAUUCUUCUCAGAUGACAGACAGGUUGUCGCCCCCCUCCAUAACCUAACGCUAAGGAGGGACACCCCACCGUGCAGACAAGUCCACAUCUCCGGGGUCAACCCUGGCCACGUCUUUGUCGGCGUCAACUCAACGUCACCGGAGCUGCAAGACCUGUCGUCACUCUACAUCCGGGUUGAUGUCAUGAAAAGUUCCGUGUUGAAUAUUGCCUCGGUUGUCAUUGGCUGGAUUUACUUCGUUGCCUGGACAGUGGCGGGUUAUCCCCAAGUCUACACCAAUUGGAAGAGGAAGAGUAUCGUGGGCCUCAACUUCGACUUUCUCAGCUUCAACAUCACAAGCUUCAUCGCAUACAGCCUCUACAACUGUGGGCUGUUCUGGAUACCGACAAUACAGGCCGAUUACUUUACGAUACACCCCCGGGGCAUCAACCCGGUGAGGCUGAAUGACGUCUUCUUCGCCCUGCACGCCCUAGCCUUGUCCUCGUUCAUGAUCAUCCAGUGCUUCAUAUACGACCGAGGCAGUCAGAAGAUUUCGAGGGUGUGUCACAUCAUACAAGGCCUCAUCUACCUGUUUCUGGUCAUCACGCUGUUUGUGGCGGUGGGCCACAAGAUCACCUGGCUGACCUACCUGUACUACUUCUCCUACAUCAAGCUUGGCAUCACUCUCAUCAAAUACUCGCCGCAGGCCUACAUGAUCUACAAGAACAAGACUACAGCCGGGUUCAGCAUUGUGGCUGUGGCAUGCGACUUCACUGGAGGGCUGUUCAGUGUACUGCAGAUGUUUCUUCUCUCCAUAAACAGUGAUGAUUGGGGCUCCAUCAUCGGCGAUCCCACGAAGUUUGGCCUUGGACUGUUCUCCAUGAUGUUCGACGUCGUGUUCCUCGUACAGAACUGCAUGUACAAGAAUAAGGUCGUCGUCCUGGACCAGACUCCCAUUCUCGUAAAUGACAGUGGGGAAGAGAGUUAACUUCACCUUACCCUCUAGAACUGGGGAGAUACACCUUUUACAACAUGACCAGAGUCGCGAAGCGAAGCUGUGAUCAACUGAUGGUCAAACAAUAAUAUUGUUUGUUUGAUUGUUGUUUAACGCCGAACAGGCGGCCUGUAAAUAAUCGAGACGGGACCAGACAAUCCAAUGAUCAAUAUUGCGAGCAACGACCCACGCCUUCGGGGUUGGAAGACACGCAAUCAUCUUAGUCACGGAGUCUGACCACCCGAUCUAUUUGGUCACCUUAGUCAUCGAGUCUGAGCACCCGAUCUAUUUGGUCGCCUUAGUCACUGAGUCUGACCACCCGAUCUAUUUGGCGAUUGAAACGGCGGGGGUGGACAGGUUUGAUGACUUUUUUCAUGGAGUGUGAUUUUAGGCAGGGACAUCGCUCAUAAUACCAUUGGUUUGUCUGGUCCAGAAUGACUUAUUCACAGGCCACGUCUGUAUCUGAAAAUUUAAUAUUGCUGACCAAAUAUUGGUUACAAAUGCUAUCAGUCGGUUUGGUGAUCAUUUCUAGUCAAAGUCUUCACCCUGUAACUCAAGGGCGGAUCCAGCAUUUUCAAAAGGGAGGGGUCCAAAAUAUCAAAGUCUUCUUUCAGAUAAGUUUACUGCCUACAACAUACUACCCACCCCACCCAUAGCCCUUAAUAAGUUCACCUUGCAACUGUGAAACUAAAACAUUGUCAAAUUUACACAGUGUUUCGUAUCUCAAUUCUAUUAUAUAUUCAACACAACUGACAUGGUUGAGAGAUGGGCGUGUGGUUGGGUGUAGGGAUGGGACGAGUCCAAAUUUACUACCCGGGUACCCAUCCCCCCUAUUACCCGACCCUACCCGGGUAUCUGCUGUAUGUCUAAAGAGGUAGGUACAAACUGUCCAAUUGGGAAAAGUUUGACCGUAGCUCUGGUAAAAUGUGUUCAGAUACAUUUAUGAAACGAUCUGGUGUAUACACAGAAGUUGACUAAAGUUUUAUUUUUCUUCAAACAUAUGAAAGUCAUAAGGAAUGGUUGUAGUAGUCAGGAAGAACUCCGAACAUGAGUGACUUGUAGUUUAAACAUAGAGUUUUAGAUACUUUUUGUCAUUAAUCAAUAUAUCACGUGACUAGACCCGAGGACCCGAGUACCCCGUCCCAGCCCUAGUUGGGUGAGUGAGCUCCUUGAAUGAGUGAGUGCCUAGAUAAUGAUGGUUGGUUGAUGAACGGGUGGUGUGUAGUUGAGUGAAUGGGUGGCUGAAUGAGUGAGUGGGUGGGUGGGUGGUUUGAUGAGUUAGAAGUGUGCUUGAAUGGCUUAGUGAAUUGUGGGUGAGCGGCAGGGUGAAUUGAGUGAGUGAAUGUAUAAGUGGAUGGCAGAGUUGAUAAGUGAAUAAAUAAAUACUAUAUGUUAGGCCAGACUCUGUUUUCUGGGUUACAGUCACUGGUGAAAGAUUUGGUCAGUUGGUCGGAUUUUUUAAAAAAAAUUUGGCCUGGCUUGGGUCCUCAUAAAUAUUAUACAUAUAAAAUCUGAAUUGUGAUGAAGUUUUAUCCUUGACAUAAAUUCUAUUUUAGUGGUAUAAAAUCCCUAGACUUAUUCAUAUUGUCAAAGCAAUCUUUAUGGUAGGGGUUAGUUUAUUUAUAGCAGCACUGUCACUACUGGAAGUAAUAAUACUUAUUGCCAGAAUUGCUUGUUUUCACUUUAUAGGUAUAAGCACACAAGAAGCUAUCUGCUUAAAUUAAAAUCGCAAUAUUUCUUUUUUUCCAAGUGGUGAGGAAAAUAGGGACAGGGCAUGACAUUAGGGUAUAUGGAAUACAAAGCGAGAGAUUCUCAACAGCUAAUACUCAUUAUAUCUCCAUGACAAAUUGCAAAGAGCAAUGAAGAACAAAGAAUGGUUUAUUUCACGAUAAAACAUUUUCUAGUAUGACCUCAUUUCUGAAGAUUCGGACAUGCACUCGCAACUUGAUGACAUCAUAUAUUGGACAACGUUAUGUUUGAGAGGGAAAUGUCAAGUAAGUUGUUCCCUAUAGAUGUAGCUGGACAGCCCAGGUAAAUGCAGUGGCUGAAUGACUGCAUCCAAAAGUGGGAGAGAUAUGACAAUCAACGUGAGGAUUGUGGAAAUACCAAACUUAAUCCACCUGUUCGAAAAAUGGUCUUGUCCGACAUUUCCAAGGUCGGAUUCUAUUAAGGGCGUCAUCAUUAUUAAAAUUUGGGUAAAUAUUUGUAAAGCUUGCACAUUUUAUCAACAACCUUAAAAAGGCUAUACAUAAUGUUGAUAUCUCAUAUAAGAAAUAAACUACUCGUGGUCGUUGUUGAUCAUCAAAUAAAACACUGCAGCCCUUAUGGUUUAUUCUCCCUGCAGUGUUUUAUUGUAUGAUAAACAACUCACUCAUCGUUUACUUCUUAAAUAACAGUAACCAAACCAUUCCACUUCUUCACAAACCAAACUCCCAUUUUCAGUGGUAUAUUCUUUAUUCAACAAUGACGUCAUAUACAGAUAUGAUACAAUAAAAUUAUCUAAAACAAAA